UAGGGAAUCUUCCACAAUGGGCGAAAGCCUGAUGGAGCAACGCCGCGUGUGUGAUGAAGGGUUUCGGCUCGUAAAACGCUGUUGUAAGAGAAGAAUGACAUUGAGAGUAACUGUUCAAUGUGUGACGGUAUCUUACCAGAAAGGAACGGCUAAAUACGUGCCAC
Molecule: ribosomal RNA, 164 nt
Filed under: uncultured bacterium
Lineage: Bacteria
Description: partial 16S rRNA
Rfam family: Bacterial small subunit ribosomal RNA
Source: RNAcentral